Solanum tuberosum (potato) is the source of this 94-nucleotide non-coding RNA. Lineage: Eukaryota; Viridiplantae; Streptophyta; Magnoliopsida; Solanales; Solanaceae. The record is from RefSeq and is marked provisional.
UGCUCGGACCCUCAAAAGAUGUUCUCGGAUCCUCCAAAAAUACAUAGCUUUUGGAGGAUCCGACACGUAGAUAUUUUUGAAGAGUCUGAGCAAC